Molecule: long non-coding RNA, 154 nt
Organism: Oncorhynchus keta (chum salmon)
Lineage: Eukaryota; Metazoa; Chordata; Actinopteri; Salmoniformes; Salmonidae
Exons: 2
Source: RefSeq, a predicted model, not a curated record
GCCUACCUGGUUAAAUAAAGGUGUUCUCAACUAGCCUACCUGGUUAAAUAAAGGGGUUCUCAACUAGCCUACCUGGUUAAAUAAAGGGGUUCUCAACUAGCCUACCUGGUUAAAUAAAGGUGAAAUAAAAAAAAAUAUUUAAAAAAAAUAAAAA